Molecule: ribosomal RNA, 468 nt
Filed under: uncultured bacterium
Lineage: Bacteria
Description: partial 16S ribosomal RNA
Source: RNAcentral
CACGUAGUUAGCCGCAGCUGCUUCUGCAGGUACCGUCAUAAUCUUCCCUGCCGAAAGAGCUUUACACCCCGAAGGGCUUCAUCGCUCACGCGGCGUCGCUGCAUCAGGGUUGCCCCCAUUGUGCAAGAUUCCCCACUGCUGCCUCCCGUAGGAGUCUGGCCCGUGUUCAGUGCCAGUGUGGCCGUGUGCCCUCUCAGGCCGGCUACCGAUCGUUGCCUUGGUAGGCUUUUACCCUGCCAACAAGCUAAUCGGCCGCGGACUCCUCCUCCUGCGCAUUGCUGCUUUCUCCUCUCGGACUUAUGCGGUAUUAGCCCCGGUUUCCCAGGGUUAUCCCCCACAAGAGGGUAGAUGAUCCACGUGUUGCUCACCCGUACGCCACUUUACUCACAAGAUUGCUCCUGCUUUCUCGUUCGACUUGCAUGUGUUAGGCGCGCCGCCAGCGUUGAUUCUGAGCCAGGAUCAAACUCU